RNAcentral lists this ribosomal RNA (157 nucleotides) under uncultured bacterium. RNAcentral's name for it is "partial 16S ribosomal RNA". It matches the Rfam family "Bacterial small subunit ribosomal RNA", at positions 355 to 509 of the family's 1533-position model. The record is from RNAcentral.
UGAGGAAUAUUGGUCAAUGGGGCGGGAGCCUGAACCAGCCAAGCCGCGUGAAGGAAGAAGGCGCCAGGCGUCGUAAACUUCUUUUGUCGGGGAACAAAGGGCGCCACGCGUGGCGUUGUGAGUGUACCCGAAGAAAAGCAUCGGCUAACUCCGUGCC